Molecule: ribosomal RNA, 510 nt
Filed under: uncultured bacterium
Lineage: Bacteria
Description: bacterial SSU rRNA
Rfam family: Bacterial small subunit ribosomal RNA
Source: RNAcentral
UGAUUAGCUAGUUGGUGGGGUAAGAGCCUACCAAGGCGACGAUCAGUAGCUGGUCUGAGAGGACGACCAGCCACACUGGAACUGAGACACGGUCCAGACUCCUACGGGAGGCAGCAGUGGGGAAUUUUGGACAAUGGGGGCAACCCUGAUCCAGCCAUUCCGCGUGAGUGAAGAAGGCCUUCGGGUUGUAAAGCUCUUUCGCAAGGGAAGAAAACUCGAUCUCUAAUAUAGGUUGAGGCUGACGGUACCUUGAUAAGAAGCACCGGCUAACUACGUGCCAGCAGCCGCGGUAAUACGUAGGGUGCGAGCGUUAAUCGGAAUUACUGGGCGUAAAGCGUGCGCAGGCGGUUUUGAAAGUCAGAUGUGAAAUCCCCGGGCUCAACCUGGGAACUGCGUUUGAAACUCCAAAGCUAGAGUAUGGGAGAGGGAGGUAGAAUUCCACGUGUAGCAGUGAAAUGCGUAGAGAUGUGGAGGAAUACCAAUGGCGAAGGCAGCCUCCUGGCCUAAUAC